GUACUCACUUCAGCAGCACAUAUACUAAAAUUGGAACAAUACAGGGAUCAUCAUGGCCCCUGCACAAGGAUGACACGCAAAUUCAUAAAGUGUUUUAUAUUUUU
Molossus molossus (Pallas's mastiff bat) is the source of this 104-nucleotide small nuclear RNA. NCBI's taxonomy places the organism in Eukaryota, Metazoa, Chordata, Mammalia, Chiroptera, Molossidae. The record is from RefSeq and is a predicted model, not a curated record.